This 579-nucleotide long non-coding RNA is filed under the name Homo sapiens (human). RNAcentral's name for it is "non-protein coding lnc-N6AMT1-1:10". The record is from RNAcentral. Lineage: Eukaryota; Metazoa; Chordata; Mammalia; Primates; Hominidae.
AUGUGUUAGCUGAGUCCCCUGAAGGCAGCAGAUGGUUGGUUGGAGGUAUUACUGAGGUAAACUUCCAGUAUCCAGAUCCAAAGCGGUGGACAGUGAAAAUAACCAGAACUAGGAGAAAAGAAUGGGAACUGUGAGGAAAAGAAUGACAUGAACAAUGGGAAGACCAAGGUCCCAGCACAAGUAGUAGAUGCUGAGGAAAGAAGAAGUAUGUUGUGGAGUAAGUGAGUGGGCCUGAGUUGAGAAGAUCCUGGCCUUGGAUUUUAAAACUGUCAGGAAUUGCAUAAAUUCGCUAGAAUCAGAAGUCAGUUGUCCUGAUCUCAGAACAAUUUGGUGUGUACAAAGUCCAAGGUUUGAAAACUCAUCAAGAAGUCAGCAUCCUGCAAGAAUCAGCCACCCAUGCCACACUUUCUAUAGUAACUUCUGUUCUGCAUCAGACUACAUCACUCUGGCUUUCUGGUAUGCGGAUUUGUAUUAGUCCAUUUUCAUACUGAGACCAGGUAAUUUAUGAAAAAAAGAGGUUUAAUUGACUCAUGGUUCCACAUGGCUGGGUGGGUGUCAGGAAACUUACAAUCAUGGCGG